Molecule: ribosomal RNA, 697 nt
Filed under: Staphylococcus aureus
Lineage: Bacteria; Bacillati; Bacillota; Bacilli; Caryophanales; Staphylococcaceae
Description: partial 23S ribosomal RNA
Rfam family: Bacterial large subunit ribosomal RNA
Source: RNAcentral
UGAAGUUCAGGUAACACUGAAUGGAGGACCGAACCGACUUACGUUGAAAAGUGAGCGGAUGAACUGAGGGUAGCGGAGAAAUUCCAAUCGAACCUGGAGAUAGCUGGUUCUCUCCGAAAUAGCUUUAGGGCUAGCCUCAAGUGAUGAUUAUUGGAGGUAGAGCACUGUUUGGACGAGGGGCCCCUCUCGGGUUACCGAAUUCAGACAAACUCCGAAUGCCAAUUAAUUUAACUUGGGAGUCAGAACAUGGGUGAUAAGGUCCGUGUUCGAAAGGGAAACAGCCCAGACCACCAGCUAAGGUCCCAAAAUAUAUGUUAAGUGGAAAAGGAUGUGGCGUUGCCCAGACAACUAGGAUGUUGGCUUAGAAGCAGCCAUCAUUUAAAGAGUGCGUAAUAGCUCACUAGUCGAGUGACACUGCGCCGAAAAUGUACCGGGGCUAAACAUAUUACCGAAGCUGUGGAUUGUCCUUUGGACAAUGGUAGGAGAGCGUUCUAAGGGCGUUGAAGCAUGAUCGUAAGGACAUGUGGAGCGCUUAGAAGUGAGAAUGCCGGUGUGAGUAGCGAAAGACGGGUGAGAAUCCCGUCCACCGAUUGACUAAGGUUUCCAGAGGAAGGCUCGUCCGCUCUGGGUUAGUCGGGUCCUAAGCUGAGGCCGACAGGCGUAGGCGAUGGAUAACAGGUUGAUAUUCCUGUACCAC